This 159-nucleotide ribosomal RNA is filed under the name Pyrenochaeta sp. 6316. Its description in RNAcentral is "5.8S ribosomal RNA". It matches the Rfam family "5.8S ribosomal RNA". Rfam says of the family: 5.8S ribosomal RNA (5.8S rRNA) is a component of the large subunit of the eukaryotic ribosome. It is transcribed by RNA polymerase I as part of the 45S precursor that also contains 18S and 28S rRNA. Lineage: Eukaryota; Fungi; Ascomycota; Dothideomycetes; Pleosporales; Cucurbitariaceae. The record is from RNAcentral.
CUUUCAACAACGGAUCUCUUGGUUCUGGCAUCGAUGAAGAACGCAGCGAAAUGCGAUAAGUAGUGUGAAUUGCAGAAUUCAGUGAAUCAUCGAAUCUUUGAACGCACAUUGCGCCCCUUGGUAUUCCAUGGGGCAUGCCUGUUCGAGCGUCAUUUGUAC